Drosophila miranda is the source of this 632-nucleotide long non-coding RNA. RefSeq lists it as uncharacterized. The record is from RefSeq and is a predicted model, not a curated record. The transcript has 2 exons. NCBI's taxonomy places the organism in Eukaryota, Metazoa, Arthropoda, Insecta, Diptera, Drosophilidae.
AAAUGCAUUGAGCUGUCACAUUAGAGGAGCAACUCGAUACGUCAGUCCCCCGCUGCUAUCCCUCUCUCUGCCAUUCUCCAUUCAGCUUCACUGCUGCGCUCUGUUCUCCUACUGUCGCUCUCUUUUUCUUCUUCUGAUCACAUCACCUUCCUUCCAUUAGUGGACCCUAAGCAUUUUACUCAAAGUCGUGAAAGCAUUGAAAGCUCUCCUUUCUUCUGCUCGUUCUUUUUUGUCAAUCAAUUUCGAAGGUGUUGCUGCUGCGGAUGAUGUUGUUGCCUGUGGAUGUUGUUGGUGCUGCUACCGUUUGUCGUUGCGUGCACUUUUGUGGAAAUUGCUGUUGACGUUGGUUAUAUGGAAUACUUAUGGAUGGUGGCUUGGAUGCUAGGAUGCUUGGAUGCAUGGAUGCUGCUGAUUUACAUGUUUCUCUCUGCUCUGUUUAAUUGCCCGCACCCGGGCCCGGACCCGGACGCGAACACGAACGACAACGACUCCAUGGAGGAGGAUCCGGCAUAUGCUUGACCUAAUGGUGGGAUGGUUCCACAGUUCCUCCGGCUGGAUCUAUCACACGAGAGGUCUAUGACUCAUUUAUCAUGUGUCAGAAUGUUUAACUAAAUGGCACUUUGCCGAAAAAG